GAGUAGCCUUUAUAGCGGAAUGAUUCUUGUAACGGACCGAAGUGGUCAAUGUGUAUAAUAUCAAGUGGCAUCGUGGGGAAAGGGUACACUUGUGUUUCCCCCUCAAAACGAUUUGAAGAGCUAUUUGACAUCACGCAGCGCCGCAGUGAGCUAAAUCAUCGUGGUGGACACGCAACAUAUUUGUCACCAUUGACUCCGGA
Molecule: non-coding RNA, 200 nt
Organism: Nylanderia fulva
Lineage: Eukaryota; Metazoa; Arthropoda; Insecta; Hymenoptera; Formicidae
Source: RefSeq, a predicted model, not a curated record